GAAUUUUCCUCUUUUUUCAAACUUGAGAAGCAAAAGUGCCAUAACAAUGGUGAAACGAUUCAGAGGAAGAAUGUCAGCUUUUGACAAGUCAACUUUUAUCUCACUUGAAGUGACUGGAAGAAAUCAGCAGAUGAAAGGAAAAUUGAUGAUUGAUGAGGCCUUCGGCACAAAAAGUCGUAUCUAGGUGACACAGAAGACUGAAGAGGUAUACAGAAGGAGAAAUGUUUCUCCCCCAGCAAUGUCUCUUUACCUGUGCCUUGUGAUCAAGAGGGUUUGCUGAACCUUCCUCUGCAGCUUAAGACAUUUGCUUCAUCGGAGAAAAGGGUUUGGAGAAAUGCAUCGUGUCUUUUGCCCAUAUCCUUUGAAUUACUAACCAACUUUUUAGUCCCAAUCAGCAGCAAGUGUGGGCUCAUUGGUUUCCCGCCCUGCCGUCAUUCCUUCUCCUUAGCACCUGGUAGAGGCUGUGGAAAAGAGGUUGUAAAUGACUGCAGAUUCCUUUUAGUUUCAGGUGCUCCCAGAAAUUUUGGAUUUCCAUGUUAUCCUACUUUGACUUGGAAGGUGAUGUUUUAUCUCAUCAAUUUACAUGAUUUUAUGCAGCUAGAUUGGUGUCUCUUCCUAACAUGCUCUGCUAGGGGAGACCACUCUUUGUUUCUUGCUUUCUAG
This 663-nucleotide long non-coding RNA is filed under the name Papio anubis (olive baboon). Its description in RNAcentral is "lncRNA (ENSPANG00000037978.1)". Lineage: Eukaryota; Metazoa; Chordata; Mammalia; Primates; Cercopithecidae. The record is from RNAcentral.